GAAAAGUUGCAGAACAAACUUUUUGCACUCAGUUUGAAACAUUUAGUUUUCUAUAUGUUCCAGAAAUUGCAGUAAGACAGAAAACAGAGUCAUCAAGCAGCGAAGGUGAUUUCUUAUUCCUUGAACUUGUUGAAGCAGAAGUAUCCCGGUCACUUACAGGUGUAUUUCAGGAUGCCAGCGGUCUAGAUUGAUGCACUUCAAGUGAUACUGGAGCUGUCAAUCCAGAGCUGUGGUCAGGAGUACAAACACAAAAUGUGCCAUUGGAAAAGUCUACAUAGAAGCCUGGACUUGUUGAUAGUUACACUAGAUUGUGGUCGUCAGAAACUGUCUUUAUAUCGACUGUAUGAAACACUGACUUUGUCUGAAUGAUGUCGACCAUUUUUCUGUUUUCUG
This is a non-coding RNA of Xyrichtys novacula (pearly razorfish), 393 nucleotides long. NCBI's taxonomy places the organism in Eukaryota, Metazoa, Chordata, Actinopteri, Labriformes, Labridae. The record is from the annotation of a GenBank genome assembly.